UUAAGCGACUAAGCGUACACGGUGGAUGCCCUGGCAGUCAGAGGCGAUGAAGGACGUGCUAAUCUGCGAAAAGCGCCGGCGAGGUGAUAUGAACCUUUGACCCGGCGAUGUCCGAAUGGGGAAACCCAGUGCAAUCCGUUGCACUAUCGUUAACUGAAUACAUAGGUUAACGAGGCGAACCGGGGGAACUGAAACAUCUAAGUACCCCGAGGAAAAGAAAUCAACCGAGAUUCCCCCAGUAGCGGCGAGCGAACGGGGAGCAGCCCGGAGUCUGAAUCAGCUUGUGUGUUAGUGGAACGGUCUGGAAAGUCCGACGGUACAGGGUGAUAGUCCCGUACACGAAAGCACACAUGCUGUGAACUCGAAGAGUAGGGCGGGACACGUGGUAUCCUGUCUGAAUAUGGGGGGACCAUCCUCCAAGGCUAAAUACUCCUGACUGACCGAUAGUGAACCAGUACCGUGAGGGAAAGGCGAAAAGAACCCCGGCGAGGGGAGUGAAAAAGAACCUGAAACCGUGUACGUACAAGCAGUGGGAGCCUCUUUAUGGGGUGACUGCGUACCUUUUGUAUAAUGGGUCAGCGACUUAUAUUCUGUAGCAAGGUUAACCGUAUAGGGGAGCCGAAGGGAAACCGAGUCUUAACUGGGCGUUAAGUUGCAGGGUAUAGACCCGAAACCCGGUGAUCUAGCCAUGGGCAGGUUGAAGGUUGGGUAACACUAACUGGAGGACCGAACCGACUAAUGUUGAAAAAUUAGCGGAUGACCUGUGGCUGGGGGUGAAAGGCCAAUCAAACCGGGAGAUAGCUGGUUCUCCCCGAAAGCUAUUUAGGUAGCGCCUCGUGAACUCAUCUUCGGGGGUAGAGCACUGUUUCGGCUAGGGGGCCAUCCCGGCUUACCAACCCGAUGCAAACUACGAAUACCGAAGAAUGUUAUCACGGGAGACACACGGCGGGUGCUAACGUCCGUCGUGAAGAGGGAAACAACCCAGACCGCCAGCUAAGGUCCCAAAGUCAUGGUUAAGUGGGAAACGAUGUGGGAAGGCACAGACAGCCAGGAUGUUGGCUUAGAAGCAGCCAUCAUUUAAAGAAAGCGUAAUAGCUCACUGGUCGAGUCGGCCUGCGCGGAAGAUGUAACGGGGCUAAACCAUGCACCGAAGCUGCGGCAGCGACACUAUGUGUUGUUGGGUAGGGGAGCGUUCUGUAAGCCGUUGAAGGUGUCCUGUGAGGGGUGCUGGAGGUAUCAGAAGUGCGAAUGCUGACAUAAGUAACGAUAAAGCGGGUGAAAAGCCCGCUCGCCGGAAGACCAAGGGUUCCUGUCCAACGUUAAUCGGGGCAGGGUGAGUCGACCCCUAAGGCGAGGCCGAAAGGCGUAGUCGAUGGGAAACAGGUUAAUAUUCCUGUACUUGGUGUUACUGCGAAGGGGGGACGGAGAAGGCUAUGUCAGCCGGGCGACGGUUGUCCCGGUUUAAGCAUGUAGGCGGAGGUUCCAGGUAAAUCCGGUACCUUAUUAACGCUGAGGUGUGAUGACGAGGCACUACGGUGCUGAAGUGAUAAAUGCCCUGCUUCCAGGAAAAGCCUCUAAGCAUCAGGUAACACGAAAUCGUACCCCAAACCGACACAGGUGGUCAGGUAGAGAAUACCAAGGCGCUUGAGAGAACUCGGGUGAAGGAACUAGGCAAAAUGGUGCCGUAACUUCGGGAGAAGGCACGCUGAUGUGUAGGUGAAGUCCCUGCGGACGGAGCUGAAAUCAGUCGAAGAUACCAGCUGGCUGCAACUGUUUAUUAAAAACACAGCACUGUGCAAACACGAAAGUGGACGUAUACGGUGUGACGCCUGCCCGGUGCCGGAAGGUUAAUUGAUGGGGUUAGCGGCAACGCGAAGCUCUUGAUCGAAGCCCCGGUAAACGGCGGCCGUAACUAUAACGGUCCUAAGGUAGCGAAAUUCCUUGUCGGGUAAGUUCCGACCUGCACGAAUGGCGUAAUGAUGGCCAGGCUGUCUCCACCCGAGACUCAGUGAAAUUGAACUCGCUGUGAAGAUGCAGUGUACCCGCGGCAAGACGGAAAGACCCCGUGAACCUUUACUAUAGCUUGACACUGAACACUGGUCCUUGAUGUGUAGGAUAGGUGGGAGGCUUUGAAGCGUGGACGCCAGUCUGCGUGGAGCCAACCUUGAAAUACCACCCUUUAAUGGCUGGUGUUCUAACGUAGACCCGUAAUCCGGGUUGCGGACAGUGUCUGGUGGGUAGUUUGACUGGGGCGGUCUCCUCCCAAAGAGUAACGGAGGAGCACGAAGGUUGGCUAAUCCUGGUCGGACAUCAGGAGGUUAGUGCAAUGGCAUAAGCCAGCUUGACUGCGAGCGUGACGGCGCGAGCAGGUGCGAAAGCAGGUCAUAGUGAUCCGGUGGUUCUGAAUGGAAGGGCCAUCGCUCAACGGAUAAAAGGUACUCCGGGGAUAACAGGCUGAUACCGCCCAAGAGUUCAUAUCGACGGCGGUGUUUGGCACCUCGAUGUCGGCUCAUCACAUCCUGGGGCUGAAGUAGGUCCCAAGGGUAUGGCUGUUCGCCAUUUAAAGUGGUACGCGAGCUGGGUUUAGAACGUCGUGAGACAGUUCGGUCCCUAUCUGCCGUGGGCGCUGGAGAAUUGAGGGGGGCUGCUCCUAGUACGAGAGGACCGGAGUGGACGCAUCACUGGUGUUCGGGUUGUCAUGCCAAUGGCACUGCCCGGUAGCUAAAUGCGGAAAAGAUAAGUGCUGAAAGCAUCUAAGCACGAAACUUGCCCCGAGAUGAGUUCUCCCUGAGACCUUGAGUCUCCUGAAGGAACGUUGAAGACGACGACGUUGAUAGGUCGGGUGUGUAAGCGCAGCGAUGCGUUGAGCUAACCGAUACUAAUGAACCGUGAGGCUUAACCUU
This 2903-nucleotide ribosomal RNA is filed under the name Enterobacter cloacae. Its description in RNAcentral is "bacterial LSU rRNA". It matches the Rfam family "Bacterial large subunit ribosomal RNA". The record is from RNAcentral. Lineage: Bacteria; Pseudomonadati; Pseudomonadota; Gammaproteobacteria; Enterobacterales; Enterobacteriaceae. RNAcentral also lists the same sequence under 1 other name.